CUGUACACAAAACCAGCCCUUCUUCUCUUUCUCCUCGAUGUUUCUUUUUCUCCCUAAGCUCUCUGUCUUCUCAACAACUAAAUUCCCAUAAGUGAAUCUCCAAUUAUGUUUCGAACAAUUAAUGGAGGAGAUCAACCAUCGAAUCGAAUGUUUCUUUUCUUUGAAUUUGGUAUGAAUAUUUUCUAAAACUAAUAAAAUUGUUUUCUAAUUUAUUUUAUAAUACUAGGGUUCUGUUAAUUUUGGGGGUUACGUUAUGUUUAUCAAUGAUGACACCAGAAGCAUCUAACCCUCCAUUAACAUUUUUCUGAGAAAAACCUACAAUUAUUUGAGCUCGGUAUCAAGAAUUCAUGAUGAAUAUGAAGAUUUUACUAAUAAAAUCCCAAACCCCUCAUUCACAAAUCCAAUUUCUAGGGUUACAAAUGAACAUUCACAGUUGCAAUCUGAAGAUGCAAUCGUGCAACUACUGAAAAUAACAGCUGCAUUUGACGACUAUUCAUUGACAGCGAUUCGAGGUUUCCUUAUUUUCUAAACUAUCCAUUUAUGUGAUAAUUUUCUUCCAUGAACCUAAAACUAUGAAGGUAAUCAAUCUGGGCUGUUUAUGAGAGCAGAUUUUCAGCCAGAUAAUAUGGGAGAUGAUCUGGGUGAUCACUACUGCUCUAAUUGUGAUGAAGAGAGCAAUUUUCAGGAUGUCAGUGGGUUGUGUUUGAUUCUCCAAGUCCAAUGCAUUCUUGAUGGUGCUAAUUCAAUUUUAACCAGUGAAUUUUUUUUGACAACUUCCAGCGUUGAUUUAAUGCAGAUCAAGUGAUGGAUAAGGUUCUAUGGUUGAUACAAUGUCAAGAAGCAGCUGCCUCAUAAUUUUAGUUCCCAUGGUAAAUUAAUACUAUUUAUUUAUAAUUACAAGUUACUGCAAAAUCUCAAUAUCUAUAGGAACUAGGAAGCCUAGCUUUUAUUCCCUUUUUUCUUGCAACACCUGAACAUUUCCCUACAUGCAAUAUUGUGCUGCUGCUGCAACACUAAUUUUAUUUGGUUAAGUAAUGUAAUUUUCUGUA
Long non-coding RNA from Papaver somniferum (opium poppy), 1049 nucleotides. RefSeq lists it as uncharacterized. NCBI's taxonomy places the organism in Eukaryota, Viridiplantae, Streptophyta, Magnoliopsida, Ranunculales, Papaveraceae. The transcript has 2 exons. The record is from RefSeq and is a predicted model, not a curated record.